Molecule: ribosomal RNA, 119 nt
Filed under: Pteropus alecto (black flying fox)
Lineage: Eukaryota; Metazoa; Chordata; Mammalia; Chiroptera; Pteropodidae
Source: RNAcentral
GUCUAUGGCCAUGCUACCCUGAACAAGCCCGAUCCCAUCUGAUCUUGGAAGCUAAGCAGGGUCGGGCCUGGUUAGUACUUGGAUGGGAGACUACCUAGGAAGACCAGGUGCUGUAGGUA